Molecule: long non-coding RNA, 362 nt
Organism: Orbicella faveolata
Lineage: Eukaryota; Metazoa; Cnidaria; Anthozoa; Scleractinia; Merulinidae
Source: RefSeq, a predicted model, not a curated record
UAACAAUUUUAAGAGUUGCGAUAUUUUUGUUUUGUUUUGUUUUGUUUUUUUUCUUUACAUUCUUCGAUGUGUUGAUGAAAACAAAGAUUUGGAUAUCAAUAAUAAGACUGAAAGAGACGGUAAUCAGCUGUCACACCAUGCAGGCAAUUUUCCCGUCACUUUCAUGCUGAUGCUCGCGGUUGUGGUGGCCGGUUACUUUGCCUAUCACAACAGAACCAAGAUCCAUCGAUUCAUAAAGGAAGGCUUUGGCAAGGCAAGGCAAACAGGGUCAGCUUACGUCAAAGUCAAACUGGACGAUGAUAUCGAACUACCACGUGAAGCUAACAGGCAAUACGUCUAUUAAAACAUGACUGGAUGUGAUU